GUGAAGGUCGCCGCGGGCCCUGGGCGCUCCCGGCGGGGGGAGGGGGCGGCGGCGGCGGCGGGUCCGCGAGCUCGGGCUCCUUCCAGCCGCUGGCCCCCCGGGCGCGCCCAGCACCGCGACCCUGACCCUGCGCGACCCGUCCCCCGACCGCGACCCCUUGGCCCCGUGUGCUGACCCCGAGGUCACGUCGCGGCCCCGGGCUCCUCUGGAAGACCCCAAGGUCAGCUCGAAGACCGCAAGGAGACCCCACAUGACGGGCACCUCCCGGCCCAAGUGCAAGACUACAAGCAGCCUCACGGUGCACAAAACAGGACACGCGGAUGGCCGGCUCGUUUACGCUCCCCAAGGCCGCAGGGAGGCCCCCCCAGAACUGCUUCGCCAGAUGCCAGGAGCUCAGGACGCGGAAAUGAGAGCCGUGGUUCCGGGACUGGGACCUCGAGGGCCUGCGACGGGGCCGCGGGGUGGCUGGAUGCAUCCUGCUGCACGGCCUGACGGGCCAUGGCGGCUGUGACCGCCUCGGACACGGCCCCGGGGACACGGAGCGCCGAGGCCAGCAGUCGGGAGGUGCACAGCCUGCGUCCUCAGAGGGACCACUUGGGGCGCGUCCAGGAGCCUCCGGGGCCCCAGAGCGCAGACGCCAGUCACCGGCUUUAUGGGGCCAGGACACGGGGCUCCGGUGAGAGGUUCCCAGAGCUCCCGGCACGCUCCCCGCGGACCAAGCCGGGUCACCUGGCUCUCCGCCAAGCCACCUCGUCCUGUCUUUCCUUUCUGGGUGCGCAUGUGCAGGAAGGCCCCGGCCCGGGCCCCGUCUCACCUGGCUUGCAGCGGCCUGACAGCCGGCCCAGCAGCGCGUGCACCUGGUCGUCCGGCCAGUCGUGCAGGAUUCUGGAGAGCACGUACAGCUCUGCCUCCGGGAGGCUGUCCUUGAAAAAGUCACCUGGGAACAAAAUAAAGAAAUAAGAAAAUAAAAAAAAUAAUAAUAAUAAUAAAAAGAAAUAAGAAAAUACAUAAAAAAUAAGGAAAUUAAAAGAAUACUAAGUAAAAUAAAAUUUAUAAAAUGAGAAAAAAAGAAAAACUCAGGAGAAAAUAAAUGAAUAAUAAGAAAUAAAUAAAAUGAAAUUAAAAAAAAGAAAAGAAAAAGGAAAACUCACAUGGAAAAAAGAAUUAUUAAUUAAUUAAAUGAAGUAAAAAAAAAAAAAAAUCACCUGGUGUGGAAACAAGGUGCCAUGAGCCCGUCAGGGACGCGGGAGCUACGUGUCCACCCGACAGACACAUGACGGGGGGGGGGAGUCGGCCGCUCCCCAGAACUGCUGGCAGCAGGGACAACUGUGUCCUGAUCCCAAAACAUGCCAGAAGUCCGAACCCUGGGCCGUCAGCACGCGUGCCCUUGGGCCGGGUCGCGGCGCCCACGGGAUUCAGGACCGCAAGGGUUUCUUUUCAAGCUGCUCCCACGUUUGCAUCCACCCCCUGCCCCGGCCCUGGAAGUUCUCCCUCGCGUCUAACUCAAGGCUUUCCUGCUCCAGCUUGUGUGGCCGUGGUGGGUGCAGACACCUGCAGACGCCCACCUCUGCCGAUCCACGUCCCCACGUGCCCGCCCAGCACUGCUGCUUCCAGGGCCGCUGACACGGCCGCUCACGCUCACGUUAUAUGACGUGGAGAUGCACACAACUGUGCACGCACACACGGAAACUCAUGUGCAUGCACACACGCAUGCAGACCACACGCAGGCGCACACACACUGCAUGCACAUCACACACACACGUAGCUGCACACACGCGCAUAGACAAAUACACGGAUGAUGCACACAUGCAUGAACAUGCAGAGACAAAUACAUGCAUAGAUACGUUUAAAUGCACAUACACACACGCAACACACACUCAGACAACACAUGUAUCACAUGCACACACAGGGACACCGACACAGAGAUAUGUAUACAGGCACGUGCAUGCAGACAGGCAACACACGGGCAUGCACACGCACAGACACACACGUGCAGGCACAUGCACACAGAGACUGAGACUUAAAGACAUCAGACAUAGAGAUAUGCACAGAUGCAAACACACACACUGCAUGCACACACAAACACACGUGUGUACAUGCACACACAAACACAUGCAGAACAGACUUACGUUUGCACGCACAGACAACGCACACAUGCACGUACAUGCAAAGACAACAAAUGCAUGCAUGCACACACAGACGUUUGCGUUUACACAGACACACACGUACACACACACUCAAACACACGUGUCAUAAGCACACACAGGCACACUGACACAGAGACAUGUACACAGGCACAGAUGUGCAUGCAUACAGGCAACAUGCAUACAUGCACACGUGCAGACACACAAGCGUGCAUGCACAUGUGCACAGAGACUGAGACAAAGACAUCACGCACAGAGAUAUGCACAGAUGCAAGCACACACACAGGCACAACUACAUGCCCACACAAAGAAGACACACGUGUGUACAUGCACACACAAACACAUGCAGACAAACAGACAUACAUUUGCAUGUACACAGACAACACACACAUGCACAUACAUGCAGAAACAACAAAUGCAUGCAUGCACACACGCAAAGACGAUUGCAUUUACACAUACAACACACACGUAUCAUAAGCACGCACAGGCACACCGCACAGACGUGCCCAGGCACACAUGUGCAUGCAUAGGCACACGCACGCACACGCCCAGACACACACAGAGCCAUCCCCCACACAGGUAACCGCAUGUGCACACACACAAAUACACCCAUGUUCACAUUCCCAGAAGACACGCACACCCACACCCUGCACGCACACCCCGUAGAAGCCCAUACGGUCGGCCGAACGUCGACGCUUGGCAAACACAAAGCAGCGCGCACCUGGCACGAAGCUGAUCUGCUCCGAGGGCCGCCCUCCGGGCUGGAAGCACGCGACGUGCUCGAGGACGUCCGGGAGGUCGAACACCGUCACCCUCAUGCGCGGGUACUCGUGGGCCAGCUCGUGGGCCAGCGCGCCCGUGCAGCCUGCGGGGACGCACACCUGCUCCGUGACCCGCCCGUGCCCCCUGGCCGGCCGCCCCGGUUCCACCUUGGCUAAACCAAAGUGAUGCCUGAGCACGCACACUGCGGCCGGAAGGCAGCUGCUGGCAGAGAUCUCUGCUGUCUCACACAGGCCGCGGGGCCUCUCGGGGUCAGGACCUGGCUAGGCACGGCAAGACCGGUGCUGGCCCAGCGCAGGAAAAUUCAUUAUUUCGAGGCCUGACACAGCACAACCACCUGAUCACGACAGCUCCUGCCGUGCCAAGGCCGUCAGAGGGAGGCGGCCGGUGGGGUGUGAGGGGUGUGGGAGGGAGCAACCCCCGCAGCCACUGAUGUGGCGACCCCUGCGGAGCCCAAGCACGGGAAAGGCCACCCCCCUGCAGCCUCUCAGGGGCCCAGAGCCCUCGGGCAGCCGGAAGGUUGGCCGAGCGGGGCCGCGGGAGAAGGCCGGAGAGAAGAGGAGACCGCCGGGUGGGCGUGCCGCCGUGGCCGCGAUCGUGAGGACGGCCAGGUGCGCGUGUGCCUGAGACGCUGUGCCGGCAGGCCUGUGAGCACGCAGGAAGGACGAGGAGGCCACAGGCACUGGCACCCGCGGGCUCCCGCGAGCACCAGUGGCCUGCAGGCGCUCACCCCACCUGGGGCACCCUGUGGCUGGGAUCCCGAGGCCACGGCACGGUGAGGACACAGAUCCCUGCACACAGCUGGUGACCUGGCGCCAGACCCCCCCCACCUGCCACCUGGCCAGAGGGAAUGCGCUGGGCGUCCCGAGGCUGCUGCAACGGCCAGCCUUCUGGCCUCGUCUCCCUGGGCCACAGUAGAGGCCUCUCAGGGGUGCACCGUGUCCCCGUGCUGCGGUCAUCAGACCCUGUGCACCUUCAAAUACCCAUAGACACCUCGCCCCCAAGAGAUAUGCCCAAGUCCUGACCCCUAGAACCCGAGAUGGGAGUCGAAUGUGGAAACAGGGUGUUUGCAGAUGGGAGGACGUGAAGGCUCUGACACGAGGUGGCCCUACGUCCAAUGACCGGGGUCCUCGUAAGAGACAGAAGAGGAGCUGCAGAUGCGGAGGAGGAGCCCCGUGAGGACGGAGGCGGAGACGGGAGGGACGCGGCCACCAGCCUGGGGACACCUGGGGCCCAGAUGCCGGAAAAGGUGGGAGGGCCCCUCCCUGGAGCCCCAGCCCUGGACCUCGGUGGUCCUGCCCCCCUGGAGCUCAGAGUGUGGUCUCCAGAGCCGGGGAGGAUGAAUUCCUGUGGUGUUAAGCCCCCCGAAUCUGCGGUCAUCGCUGACGGCAGCCCCAGGACGCUCAGACCAGUACCUUCGACGCUUUAAAGCCAUCUAUGAGUCCUAGAAGGUCCGCUGGGAACGGGGGCGGGCUCUCCACCGCGCCGUUGGCCUCGGCUCCCCGCGUGCCCGCAGCAGCCUGUCCUCCGGGGCCGCCUUCGAUGCCCCCCGCAGGGGUCCGAGCCGCCACCCUCCACGUCGCUCAGGUCCUCGAAGGUGUCGACGGCCGGGAUGGAGUCGUGCUUGACGCGCCGCACGUCGUGGCGGCCGGGCGGGUAGUAGAGCUCCACCAGCUUCUUGCAGAAGUGGUUCAGGGGGAAGCCGACCACGUUGAGGAAGUCUCCGUGGACGUACUCCACCAGCAUGCCGCCCAACGCCUGGAUCCCGUAGCCCCCCGCCUUGUCCCUGAGCGCGGGGAGCGACCGGGUGGGGGGCAGACGGCGGGACCGUUACGGGACCAACCAGAGUCCUGGGGGUCGCACGAUCGCUUCCCUGUGGCCCUCCGAUCCCACAGCCUGGGGCAGGGAGCCCAGCGACCACCCCGGGGCCCUUCGGGGACCAGUCUGGCUCUGCGCAAACUGCUAAGCGACCCUUGAGUCCUCAGCACGGGCAGUGGCCAGGUGUCACUGGCUGGCGGUCUCCGGGCUCCCUGCCUCCUACAUGCACCCUGGGGCAUGGCCCUGAGGACCCCGAUCAGCGCCUGUGCCUCUGCCGAGACCUCCUUAAGGAUGGAGGAAGGGCCGUGCAAGAGCCGCUCCUUCCUGGGCGCUGACACCUGCCUCCCCGGUGCCGCCGCGAGGGAUGCAGGGGCGCCCUCCCCUGUCCCACCCGGCGCGUGCACGCAGGCCUGAGCCUUGGUCACAUCAACCACAGCACACGGCGGCUCCUCUGGGGCAGGUGUCCCCACGCCGCUGAGGCUUGUGAGUACACGUCCCACCACCCCCAGAGGCGUCACGGUGACAGCGACCCCCGCACGGCAGUGUUGCCGGGAAGCAGGUGCAUCGCGAGGGCCGGAGGCACGCGUCCCCGUCGGGGGCACUCACAUGGGCUCGCCGCUGUCGAUGUACUCCCACAGCAGCUCCUCCGACAGCCGGGAGAACCUGACCGUGGUCUCCUCGUGGAACUGACACACGUCCGUGUCCAGCUGGCCGCCUGCAGCACGGGCCGAGGACGCCCUGGACGUGACGGGUCGGACCCCGCGGGGGCGCCUCCCUGCCACCCGCCAUCAGCCCGUGUCUGUCUGUCCGUGCGUUGCUGCUGCGGCUGCUGUGUGAGGGGCCCGCCCACGGGACACGGCGGGGACAGGUGCGGAGGGACAGGUGUGACCCUCCCCGAGACCACAGCUGAGGUCCCCAUCCCACCCUGGACAUAGGCCGCUCCCCAGGGGGCUGACC
This is an RNA transcript of Canis lupus familiaris (dog), 5699 nucleotides long. RefSeq lists it as uncharacterized. Lineage: Eukaryota; Metazoa; Chordata; Mammalia; Carnivora; Canidae. The record is from RefSeq and is a predicted model, not a curated record. The transcript is spliced from 4 exons.